This 253-nucleotide ribosomal RNA is filed under the name uncultured bacterium. RNAcentral describes it as "partial 16S ribosomal RNA". It matches the Rfam family "Bacterial small subunit ribosomal RNA", at positions 524 to 776 of the family's 1533-position model. The record is from RNAcentral.
UACAGAGGUCCCAAGCGUUGUUCGGAUUCACUGGGCGUAAAGGGUGCGUAGGUGGUGAGGCAAGUUCGGUGUGAAAUCUCCGGGCUUAACCCGGAAAUGGCAUUGAAAACUGCCCUGCUAGAGGGUUGGAAGGGAGACUGGAAUUCUUGGUGUAGCAGUGAAAUGCGUAGAUAUCAAGAGGAACACCAGUGGCGAAGGCGAGUCUCUGGACAACACCUGACACUGAGGCACGAAAGCUAGGGGAGCAAACAGG